This 390-nucleotide ribosomal RNA is filed under the name uncultured bacterium. RNAcentral's name for it is "bacterial SSU rRNA". It matches the Rfam family "Bacterial small subunit ribosomal RNA", at positions 29 to 416 of the family's 1533-position model. The record is from RNAcentral.
AUUGAACGCUGGCGGCAGGCCUAACACAUGCAAGUCGAGCGCGAAAGGCUUUCGGGCUGAGUAGAGCGGCGGACGGGUGAGUAACGCGUAGGAAUCUACCUGGUAGUGGGGGACGAACUUGGGGAAACGUCAAGCUAAUACCGCAUACGCCCCAACGGGGGAAAGGCGGGGGACCGUUCGGGCCGUCGCGCUAUCAGAUGAGCCUGCGUAGGAUUAGCUAGUUGGUGAGGUAAAGGCUCACCAAGGCGACGAUCCUUAGCUGGUCUGAGAGGAUGAUCAGCCACACUGGGACUGAGACACGGCCCAGACUCCUACGGGAGGCAGCAGUGGGGAAUAUUGCGCAAUGGGGGCGAACCCUGACGCAGCCAUGCCGCGUGUGUGAAGAAGGCC